Molecule: ribosomal RNA, 253 nt
Filed under: uncultured bacterium
Lineage: Bacteria
Description: partial 16S ribosomal RNA
Rfam family: Bacterial small subunit ribosomal RNA
Source: RNAcentral
UACGAAGGGGGCUAGCGUUGCUCGGAAUCACUGGGCGUAAAGGGUGCGUAGGCGGGUCUUUAAGUCAGAGGUGAAAUCCUGGAGCUCAACUCCAGAACUGCCUUUGAUACUGAGGAUCUUGAGUUCGGGAGAGGUGAGUGGAACUGCGAGUGUAGAGGUGAAAUUCGUAGAUAUUCGCAAGAACACCAGUGGCGAAGGCGACUUACUGGACACAUAUUGACGCUGAGGUGCGAAAGCGUGGGGAGCAAACAGG